This is a long non-coding RNA of Prinia subflava (tawny-flanked prinia), 4137 nucleotides long. RefSeq lists it as uncharacterized. The transcript has 3 exons. The record is from RefSeq and is a predicted model, not a curated record. NCBI's taxonomy places the organism in Eukaryota, Metazoa, Chordata, Aves, Passeriformes, Cisticolidae.
GUUGGAAAAGCACUGCCAGAAUAAUUUGCUUAGAAUGAAGAGGGGAAAGGACAUGCCUGUUCUGGUUUUGUUUUGGGUUUUUUUGUUGUUGUUGGUUUUUUUUUUUUUUUUCUUAUUUUUAAGAGUUCUCUCAUUUUUCCAAAAGCAGUACCAAGGCUUGUCGAUACACAUCAAUCUGAAACUGAAACCUUAACAAGCAAGAACUGAUGGAUACAUAGCCAGCAAAAUUUCAAGUUCCCUUCUGAUAAAAUUCUGUCUUUCAACAGCUGUUUUAAGAGUUAGCUUUGCACUAGAGUGAAGAAGAGGUGGCAAGGAACAUUCCCUGAUGUACUGUCAAACAAAACAACUUCACUUACAAUGUGGUUUGUUUGAAUUCAGUUUCAUGUAAAUUUGAAAUAAGCAUGCCCCUUCUUUUCUAAAAAACAGUCAGUAUUGUCCUGCAUUUUUGUACUACCCAUCAUAGUUAAUAACACACUCUCAGUGUGCCCAGCUGUAUUUAGCAGAAACUAGUUCAAACCCAGCACAGAGAAAUUCUGCCCUAGAAGUCAGAUAUAUUAAUUAGUUAAUAAGUGAAGAGCUGAAGGAACAAGCUUGACAAGAAAAUUCUAAGUGAUGUUGUCAGGACAGGGACUCAGCAUGAUCCCAGCAAGAGAAACCACCAGGGAGAGAGAAAAUUUCCUGCCUAACAUGCAAGGUGUUCAACACAAGAGAGGAGCAGAGCAAAGCAGGACUUUGCCCUGCCUGGAACGGAUGUGAACUUCUGAUCAUUAAAAAAAAAAAAAAAGGAGGAUGACUGACAACUGAUGAAAACAAUUUCCUCUAUCAAAGCUGGAGGUCUCACAAUUAGAAAAGCUUAGGGCAACUACAUGACUUUCUCCCCUUCUAGGUUUUGUGGGUUUGUUUAGGCAUUACUUUACAUUACUGCAUUAUUCCUGUGCUUUUCAGCCUGAAAUGACUUUCUGGUUGUGUGCUGAGACCUCUGCCCUGCAAGCUGAUCCAUGAAGUCAGAUCAGAGAAGUUUCUGCAGAGUCAAGGGGCUGCUCUGGCGAUAGGGCUCCCCAAGAUGAGGGUGUUGGAGAUGCCAUGGAGCCAAGUGACAGUGGAGGAAGACGGCUCCUACCCAGGAAAACACGUGCCACGUGAAAGAAAGGGAUUAACCCUUGAAUUCAAAAAGGUAAGAGGGGAUUUUUAAUUGACAAACAAAAUGAAGAAGGGAUUGACUUGAACACCCAUGAUUUGUGAGAAUGCAUAACAGCACUGCACAGAAUUUGCAGCAGUUCUAAAAGAGGUAAGAAAACCUAUCCAAAAAAAAAGAAAAAAAAAAAAUCAAUAAAACACCAACACAAGUUGAUCUUGAUUUGUGUGUGGUUUUUGAAAGAAAAAAGGAUAAACAGGUGAUGUGUCAUUCUAUGUAACUCACAUAUUUCACGCCUUUGAAAUAUGUAACACUAUUUGUGUUGUUUGUGUUGGUGACAUGUCCUUACAACAUCACCUCAGAGGCCAACCAUGCUGUGCACACGUCACGGGAGCCAGUCCCAUGUGUCCCUGCACACACACACCCCUCCUCCCCAUUUCUAGACAAAAUAAACACAACAGGCAAAAGGUCUGAAGAGAGCCCACAAUUACAGAGCUGAAAUGUCCUUGUUUGCAGCGAGGCAGCAGUGAGGCAGCAUGCUGAUGGGAACCUCGCCCAGACAUACUCAGGCUCAACUCCACCAGGAGAUUUUACCACUUCUAAAGCCACUACUGAAUUUGGGAAGCCAGGGCUUUAUUUCAAAGCUGAAUAACCCUCCUUCCUUCCUUUUGAAAUGUGGACUGGAAGGACUGUCCACUUCUAAACAAUAACACAGUAUUUAAGGCUCAGUUCUCAGUUUGGGGAAGUGGAGGAGAGCAGGAGCAAGAGGAGAGGAAGCUCUGCCUUGCCUCCAGCGUGUUCAGCUCAUGCCACUGUAAAACUUCACAAAUGGGGACACAGGGGAGCCCAGCUCACUUGGGUGUUGAAAAUACAAAUACAUGAAAGACAGGAGAUGCUUGGACCACAUCAUAUACCACAAUAAGACCAACUGAUAAUUGUGCACUACUGUAUAGGGUCACUACAGGAGCAACCUCCAGCCCCCGUGUGCAAGGGCAGCUGCCUGGCCCUCCAUGCACACUUCUCCUGGAACUUUAAGGCUGUUGCUGCUUCUCCUGUCUUUUGAGGAGGUGAGGCGAUAAGGUAUUAGAGAAUACAAAUAAACAUGUCUGUUUCUUCCUGCCCCAGAUGAGGGAAGGUUGUGUACUGUGAAGUACCUGGCUGGUAUGCAAGCCCCCAGGAAAGGUUUAAGGGAAGCCAAAGAGGGUACAAAGGUGGAAGACCACGAUCCCCCACCUGUGGCAUGGCAGUAGGGUUUAGCAUCCAAAGUGGCUACAUUUUAUGUACUGACAGGGCUAAGAAAGCACCAUACAGAUUUUAAGGACAUACAGAAGAGCUCUGCUAACUGAUGAUUUAGUUCACAAACAAGCAUUUUCUAAUUAACUAAGCUGUUGCCCCCUUUCUUUUCCAAAUGAGGGAAGGUCAUAGCUUUCUUUGAGCAGCCUGGGACACAUAAAAAAGAACCUUCUCUGCAGCCUUUCAAAGCACUUGCCCCCAAAGAUGCUUUCCCAUCCUACUCCACACUCAAGGAUGUCUCAGAUCAACUGGUGCCAAGAAGGUGUGGCUGGAGACAUGCUGGGGCAUGGAGAUGUGCACAGGACAUAUUGAAAAGAGUUUGAUUCAAAAUCCCAGUAGAUUUGAUCAUCUGCAGUUUGGCCAGGGUAGGAGGUACAUGAUAUCUGUGUGUGUGUGUACGUGUGUGUAAGCCGAAAGGAUUAUCGCAACAGUAAGAAUUAGGUUAAAACUCUGAGCCAUUUGGGCUGAGAAGAGUAGGGUUUAAAAUGAAAGCUUCAAGCCACUUUUUAACAAUUUUUCCUUGAUUAUAAGAUACAAUGACAAAUUUGAGUUAAAAGCCUUCGUCUGAAAAGCAUGUAUGCUUAACAGGAGGAAGAAGGAAAACACCUUCAGAAGCAGUCAGCUUCCUGUCUUAUGUUUUUGAAGUCAAGCUGAUGGGUCACAGAACGGAUCUCAAAUAUGUAUAUAUAUAAUCCCCGCAGCUAAAAGUCGUCUAUUUUAAAAGACAAGUGUUUGCUCACCCUAGGAACAUUGUACUCAAGCUUCAGACUUUGUGAUCCAUAUGGGUUUUAUCAACUUGUUUGCCAGGAAUUUAAGAAAAACAAACUUUAUUCAUGUUCCUUAGAGAAUUUAAUCCACUUCAUGGUCUGCACAAAAAGAAAUACAGCUUCAGAAAAAAAAAAAAAAAAAAGCCCUGGGCAUUCCUGGAACUGGAAGGUCAGAGAGCCAAAAUAACGGAUCCACUUAGUAUGAGAAAUGAGUGACUUGCAGUGGCAUCAUUAUCAGCACUGGAAGUACAUGGUUUCAGCUUAGAAAGUGAUUUCAUGUCACAUCCCAUAAAGGAUCCCCAAACAAGAAGUGCUUUCACAAGCCCUCAACCAGGCACUGCCACUGCUUUGAGGGCAGUACUUACCUUAAAGAUGGGGUGUAUAAUCCACCAGAAGCAUGUGUUCCUGGAGACUUCCCUUUGAGGAGCUGAAGUUAGAUGAGAUGAGACCUAUUCCAUAUCAUCCUGUAACAUACCUUGGUAUAUUUGUUUGUAUAUAAAGAAUUUAGUUGUGUAACCCUAGGUUUGGUUUUCCAAGCUUGAUAAAAACCUGUGAACUUCUAUAUAAUUUAUCAGUAUUUUGUUUUCUGUAUCAUAAAGAACCGGCAGUUUCUGCAAAAUGUGUUAAUAUACAUUGCUGCUGCAAACAGAGGUGUUUAUCUCCAAUGACACUUGCUUUAAAAGUACAGUCUAAUACAGGAAAUAUAUAUUUUGAUUAAUUCUUAAAGCAAAUAAUUAUGCAGAUUAAUCCCUAUACUACCCAAAUUUACACAGGCAGCCUAACAUUAAUGCAUUGCAAGUCUUUAUGGUUACAACAUCGUAGCAUGGUAUCUCACCAGCUUUUAAAGAAAGCUGUAUUUCUGCUCCAGGAGUGGUUUGUUACAUUGAAUUAAUGUUGCAUUAGAACCCUUUCAGUAAGUCAAAUCACAUUACUCACUCGUAU